GCCUGGGUGGCUCAGUUGGUUAAGUGUCUGACUUCAGCUCAGGUCGUGAUUUCAUGGUUCGUGGGUUCGAGCCCUGCGUCAGGCU
Felis catus (domestic cat) is the source of this 85-nucleotide transfer RNA. It matches the Rfam family "tRNA". From Rfam's summary of the family: Transfer RNA (tRNA) molecules are approximately 80 nucleotides in length. Their secondary structure includes four short double-helical elements and three loops (D, anti-codon, and T loops). Lineage: Eukaryota; Metazoa; Chordata; Mammalia; Carnivora; Felidae. The record is from Rfam.